CUUCUGUACCACAUACAAAAAGAAACACGUGGGUUUAGCAGCUCUCAGUAGCCCAUCCCAUUUCAUGGGGAAUGACAUCUCUUCACCAGGUUGAAGUUUCUAUAACCACUCUGCGUCUUCAGUAAUGAAGAAACAUGACUGUCCCUUGUAACUGUAGCAAAACCAUUUUUGUGAUAAAACCCAGCAGAAUUGACUCCUCUCCAACAUAUUAUUCACUGAUUCCAAGUGAGAGUGUUAGCCGGUCCUCUGCUUAAAAG
Long non-coding RNA from Numida meleagris (helmeted guineafowl), 257 nucleotides. RefSeq lists it as uncharacterized. The record is from RefSeq and is a predicted model, not a curated record. NCBI's taxonomy places the organism in Eukaryota, Metazoa, Chordata, Aves, Galliformes, Numididae. The transcript has 3 exons.